GUAGGUGAACCUGCGGAAGGAUCAUUGUCGAACCCUGCAAAGCAGAACGACCCGCGAACUUGUACUAACAACCGGGCGUCGUGGGGAUGRGGCAUUAGUCUGAUCCUCGUGACGCCUCGUCKACGUCCGUUUGUGUUGACCCUUUUGGGCCCUCACGACGUGAUGUUGGCACAACAACAAACCCCGGCACGGCAUGUGCCAAGGAAAACAAAACUUAAGAAKGGCUCGUACCAUGACGCCCUGUUUUCGGUGUGCUCGUGGUACGUGGCCUCUUUGUAAACACAAACGACUCUCGGCAACGGAUAUCUCGGCUCACGCAUCGAUGAAGAACGUAGCAAAAUGCGAUACUUGGUGUGAAUUGCAGAAUCCCGUGAACCAUCGAGUUUUUGAACGCAAGUUGCGCCCGAAGCCAUUCGGCUGAGGGCACGUCUGCCUGGGCGUCACGCAUCGCGUCGCCCCCAACCACWAGUCCCUUCGGGGAUGCAUGGCAUGGGGGCGGAGAUUGGUCUCCCGUUCCUACGGUGCGGUUGGCCAAAAUAGGAGUCCCCUUCGGCRGACGCACGACAAGUGGUGGUUGAAAAAACCCUCGUCUCGUGUCGUGUGUUGUUAGCCGUAACGGAGUGCCUCUAUAAAGACCCCAACGUGUCGUCAUUUGACGAUGCUUCGACCGCGACCCCAGGUCAGGCGGGACUACCCGCUGAGUUUAA
This 707-nucleotide ribosomal RNA is filed under the name Garuleum bipinnatum. Its description in RNAcentral is "eukaryotic LSU rRNA". Lineage: Eukaryota; Viridiplantae; Streptophyta; Magnoliopsida; Asterales; Asteraceae. The record is from RNAcentral.